This 497-nucleotide ribosomal RNA is filed under the name uncultured bacterium. RNAcentral describes it as "partial 16S ribosomal RNA". It matches the Rfam family "Bacterial small subunit ribosomal RNA", at positions 28 to 507 of the family's 1533-position model. The record is from RNAcentral.
GAUGAACGCUGGCGGCGUGCCUAAUACAUGCAAGUCGAGCGAACAGACGAGGAGCUUGCUCCUUCGACGUUAGCGGCGGACGGGUGAGUAACACGUAGGUAACCUACCUAUAAGACUGGGAUAACUUCGGGAAACCGGAGCUAAUACCGGAUAAUAUUUCGAACCGCAUGGUUCGAUAGUGAAAGAUGGCUUUGCUAUCACUUAUAGAUGGACCUGCGCCGUAUUAGCUAGUUGGUAAGGUAACGGCUUACCAAGGCAACGAUACGUAGCCGACCUGCGGGGGUGAUCGGCCACACUGGAACGGAGACACGGUCCAGACUCCUACGGGAGGCAGCAGUAGGGAAUCUGCCGCAAUGGGCGAAAGCCUGACGGAGCAACGCCGCGUGAGUGAUGAAGGUCUUCGGAGCGUAAAACUCUGUUAUUAGGGAAGAACAAACGUGUAAGUAACUGUGCACGUCUUGACGGUACCUAAUCAGAAAGCCACGGCUAACUACGUG